GUAUGGCAGUGAAGGGAUCAGUUAAUAUUAUGAGGGAUAAUCAAAACUAUGAAGACUCGUGGCAGCUUGCAGGGCAGAGUCUUGUUUGAGGAUGGUGUGUAUCUUAGUGAGUGGAGGCGGGGAGUGUUUCUUUUCCGUCUCUGGAGCAGCAGGCACAUGGGUUAUGUCCUGCUAUGCCCAGUGGGAGGCACAAGCAGGCGCAGGUGACGUCACUCCACUCGUGUGUCGUGUGGUGUAUUGGCAAGUGUGAGGGAUUCAUUGUUUGUCACAACUGCGCAUCAAGAGGCCGAGGGCCUCGCAGUGGUGCCACUUUUUUCUUGACCCUGACCCACCACCACCACCACCACCACUGAGGCGUCACUUGGUUGUGAUGCGCGUGUCUCUAGGGCGACUGCGAUUCAUCAUUAGUAUUAUUGUUGUUAGUAAUGAUCCAAGUGGAAGCUUAAUGUGCUGUGUGGCAAGAUUUAACUCACACCUACACAUUGCAAGGGAUAAAAUACAUACGCUUAUCUUUUUUUUUUUUACUUCUGUUUUGUUCGUGUGUGACUUAUCAAUCAGCGUCUUAGGGGCUCAGUGACAUUUAUCUGAUAUCGCCUGAUAGGUUCUCGUCCUAAUCGACUUUUUACACGAGUUUUGAAGUUCCAUCAUUUUAGUCCACAGGGAAUUUCUUGGUGUAGGAUCAUGCACUCGUCUUCAGCGUAAAUCUCGGCUUUUUUUUUUUUUUUGCAGGUUUUGGUGAAAGUUGCCAGUGUUUUAAGAAUGUUUUCGUGAUUUUAGUGAUAGUUCAGCAAAGAAUUCGCAUCAUCAAUAAGAAAAAAAAAAAAAUCCAUGAGAACCUGACUAACCCUUUUUUUUGAUGUACGUAGGACCCACGUGCCACAUCGCAGUUAGCCAGUGUUACAUAAUAGUUCUAGUAAACAAGAAUGUAAAGAGACACUAGACAGUACCAGUAUACAAAAUAUGAUGCUUCGUUGAUUUAGGAACAUAAGAACAUAAGAAUAUAAAAACAUAAAACAUACCUGCCUGUUUUCACCUAUCAUCCUCAUCCAUAAAUUUAUAUAAUCUUUUAAAACCCCCAAGUGACUCAGCACUAACAACUUGAUGACAGAGUAUUCCAUUCAUCUGCCAUCUGCCCAAGUGCCUUCCCAUCUUCUGUGAAGUCUAACCUUAUCAAGCUUGAACCCAUUAUUUUUUGUCCUGUCUUGCUUACUGACCAUGAGAAUAUUGCUUAUGUCAUCUUUGUUAUAUUCCCUACGUCAUUAAAAGACCUCUGUCGAAUAACGUCUUAAUCUACACCUCUUCAGUAAUAUAAUGAACUAUUUGAUAGAUGGCAGCUAGUUUAGAUAGAUAGUAGAUGAUAUCGACUGCUUGACAAAUAGCGGAUCAUAUAAACUACUUGAUAGAUAGUAAAUGAUAUAGACCCAUAGGUAGAUAAUAGAUGACAAACUACCGAAUACAUAAGUAAAAGAUCUUAUGACAACGUAAUUUUAUUUUGUUUUUUAAUUUUCAAUCCUAUAGCAGUGACAACCUAUGUUGACAUUCACACACACACACAUACACACACACACACACACACAGGAAGAGGAGGCGGUGGGAGAGGAGGGGAAGGAGGAGGAGAAAGAGGAGGAGGAGGAGGAGGAGGAGGAGGAGGGGGAGAGCCUGUGACAAGAACCAUAAGACCGUAGGAAUAUUUAACCUCACACUCAUUCCUUCUCUUCGGGGAAAACAGGAUGUGGCGUCGCUGUGAUGUUGACAGUGAAGGCUAAAGGCCGGUUCACACGAUCAUGCUGCAUGACAGGCAGCAUGAAACAACUGCAUGAAGCGGAUGCAUGAUUAGAAAGAAUGAUCGUGUGAACCCCGUUUUUGGCAUGACAUGCAGCAUGAACACGCGGCAUGACGAAUGAAGGGAAAUCCUGUGAGCAAGGGGCGGAGCUGGCAUGGCCUGAAGUAUGGCAUGACCGAGUGAACGUCAGUCAUGCAAAUUGCGUCAUUCUUGCCAGUAUUUGUGAACAGUACACAAGCUCUUAUCUUUGAUUAAUAUAGUUGUUUUCUUGUUUUUCAGUGCAAUGGAUAAGCAAAACGAAAAAGAUAAUACAUUAGAAUUUAUUUCCAUGUAUAGAAAUCAUGAGUUCGACCCUAAAACAAGUAGGGUAGCACGUCGCUUAAUUAAUGAGGUUCUAGACGCUGCAGAAGGAGGAGAGCUUAGUAGCAAUGUAAGCCUAAACUUUAAUAAUGUAACAUUUAAGCCUUCAGAUAUUGUUCAAAAUGUUUCAAACCAAGUUACGUCACCUCAUGUUAUGAUACAAUCCCAACAAUACUCCAAUUACAAUGAUGCCCCCCAAAUCCGAGGGUCAACAUCCAUUAGUGAACCUCCCCUUACCCCAAAUGUAGGCAAUGAUCCACAAAAUUUAGGUUGUUAUUUCGCGAAUUUCACUCCUCUUUGAAGAUGUUUUUCAGAAAAGACUUGUUUCAUUUGUAUUUAUGAUGAUAUACAUGUCCGUGCUUAAAGGAUAUUUUUCUAAAAGUAGCUUUGCAGAUUUAUUAUGUUUUUGCAACAUGUACUUAUUUACAUCAAUAAUGUAAAGUGAAGGAACUCAAUUUGGUUAUUUUUGAAGGAUACUUUUCUAAAAGUAGCAUUGCAGAUUUAUUAUGUUUUUGCAACAUGUACUUAUUUACAUAAAUAAUGUAUAUUAAAUGAAGUAAAUUAUGUUUUUGGUUAAAACGAAGUGUUUCACAGUGCCUUUACAGGAAAUAUAUAAGGUAUUUCUCAUAAGCAAUGACUAAUCAUUAAUUCAAAUGUUUAUUGAAAUAAACGUUGACUUACCUGUAAAAAUUCACCUCUCAGGACGUGGAAUAUUGCGUUGCAUGUUUCAGGGAUGAUUUCUGAUAAUGUUGAGGUGCCCAUUCGUGAGGAGUAUCGUAAAUCUUUCAGAGAACGUCCUGUUGCCAGGAACCGUAGUGUCGCACUUAAACGUUCAUGGGGAGUAAUGGCUUCCCUCAUGUUAGUAUUUUCACGUUUGAUAUAAGGUGACACAAGUUCCAACAAAUUGUUAUAGGUACCUUCAUCCAUUCUGAGGUAGUUCCUCCAGUCGUCUGUCUCACACUGCAAUUCAUUCAUUAAGUUUGUGUGCGAAUGUUCUUUUCGGGCAAUCCAUGCCUUGACCCAUCUCCUUUUCCGUUGGCGUGAAGAAUUUUUUUUCUCUCUUAAAAUUAUUGCCAAACCAAGCGCAAUUGCAUCAUCACGAGAAAGAGACAUUGUGCCGCAACCACCGCUAGAUCUUGCACUGAAUGACGAUAGGUGUGAUUCGUCCGAACGCGCUUCAUGCAUCUACUUCAUGCAGUUGUUUCAUGCUGACUGUCAUGCAGCAUGAUCGUGUGAACCGGCCUUAAGACACAGAGCAGAGGAGUAAAAUAAAGGAUAGGAAGGAGUGGCGAGUGGAGGCUCUUAUGAUGCAGGUUAAGAAUACUUGAGGGGAAAAGCAAUGGGGAGUGAAAUGAAGAGCAUGAAUAUAUUAGAGAAAGGGGGAAAGAGGUGAAGGUUAGGAAGAGGAAAGGUAAGUAGGGAAGUGAGGAUAGAAUGAGGUUAAGGCGAUUGCUACUACUACUACUACUACUACUACUACUACUACUACUACUACUACUAUUCUUAUACUAUGUUUCUUUUGUAGAGGCAAGGUGUUCUUCAUACACAAUAUGUCGUUCCUUUAGUUCAUUGCUCAAGCUUAUGUAGUACGAUGCUGGGAAACGCGUGGAGAGGACCAACGUGUGUACUGUAGUAAGGAUAUAGUCUCUAACUGACUGAGAAGGCAGGUGUGAGUAGGGAUGAAGUAAGUUUGGCGGCUGAGAGAUGAGGUUGCUAAUCUAAUCCAGGUGUCAGCUCUUCUGUGUGUGUGUGUGUGUGUGUGUGUGUGUGUGUGUGUGUGUGUGUGUGUGUGUGUGUGUGUGUGUGUGUGUGUUUCAGACGAAGAGUUGCAAGAACACUUCUCAAAACUAUCUGAAGGAAAUGAUAAUGAAAGCUUGAACGAGGUCCUUGAGAAAUACUGUGUAAAUAUACCAUUGUUAGAUAAUAAUAUAACUGUUUAUGAAAUACAGCAGGGAAUAAGUAACUCAAAGCUGGGUAAAGCAAGUGGGCUUGACGGUGUUUGUCCCACGAUAAUAGAAACUUUGUCUGUCAACUGGAUAAUCACUCUAGCUUCUUUGUUUAAUGUAGUUUUCACAGCAGGUUCCUACUCAACCUCUUGAGCCAUGACUAAAAUGUUUACCGUAUUUAAAAGUGGAUCGAGGAAAAAUUGAAAGAAUUAUCGCCCAAUAAUAGUGAAUAAUGGAUUCACUAGCUAAAUUGUACGACAUGAUUAUAUAUGACCGUUUAAAUCUGUGGUACACUCCGUUUAGAGAACAAGCGGGCAACCAAAAAGAAUGGGAUUGUGUGGAACACAUAGUCGCACUGCGUUUAAUUACAGAUUAGUGUAGACGCAUGAAACUGUUAUUGUAUGUGUCAUUUGUAGACUUCUGCGUAUGAUCACGUUCCAAGGCGAAGGUUGUUUAUGAUGUUACGUGGGUUAGGGUGCGGCGCGGUGAUGCUGAUGGCGCUAAUAGCCACGUACUCUUUGACUCGCAGCGUCAUCACUGCCACGAUAGUUAUAAGGCAAGGGUUGCCUACCUCAUGCCUGCUCUUUGUACUGUUGGUAAAUGAUCUUAUAGGUUUAAUCAAGGGCAGGUGUGGCUGAGAUGGGAUCCUUCAAUGGUUGUAUGUAUUAAUGUAUAUGGAUGAUAUGGUGCUUCUGUCUACUACAAGGGAAGGCAUGAUGACUAAGUUAAGGUUGCUGCAGGAUUGGUGCAUUAGCAAUGGUAUCAACGUGAAUGCAAAUAAGACAAAUUUUUUCGCUAUUAAUGAUACUGUACGAUAUCGUAUGCCUUUUAUUUUGGAUUAUUUUAAUGUAGAGUGGUGUGGCAAAUGCACGUAUUUAGGAAGCCCUUUCACUUGCGAUGGCAAACCAUCAUCAGCUGUCUUUGAAUACGCGGGGAUGAAAACAUGCCAUUUGUUGAAAUUUAUAUCCUUUGUUAAUAAGAACAGAAGUAUCCCGUUUUAUACAAAGAAACAUAUUUUUGGUGCGGCAUUAGCUACUUUUAUUUUAUUCGGUUGUGAAUCUUGGUUGUUUUCUGAUUUAAGACCUAUUGUCGAAAUAUACAUUAUGGGUAUCAAAGCACUGUUUGGAGUUAGGAUGACAACGUGUAAUGAGAUGUGCUACAUGGAGCUUGGCUACGUGCCCUUGUGCUGGUGUGGGGACACACGCCCACACCCUUGCCGCCUAUAUACCUUGGCGCGCCUUCCCCCCCUUGGGAAUUGAUGGACCCGGCCAAUCUCGCCUUUGUCCCCUACCUGAUCCAGCCUGGCCACCUCGCUUAUCACCGCGUGGGAGUGAGGUCAACCCUCAUCCCAUUGUCCCCGGACGCCAUCCCCGUCCGUGACCGGUUUAAUACAGAAAUCAUCACAGUAAAAUUUUUACUAUCGUCUAUCAUUUUAAUGUUUGGUAUUUUCCUGGUUAUUCCCGCCAAUACUUGGUCAAGAUUAUAUUAUUAGAUAGGGUUAUAACGUUUUGUUUUUAUGGUCCUUCAAAAUUAGGGUUAUAAUUUUAAUCAACUAUUUUAGUUGAUUGAUUUUUUUUACUUCUAACUUUUAUCAAUACCUUUCUUAAUCCUGUUUGAAAUUUAAUUGUUUUAUUAAUGAUCAAAGUAUUAAAUAUUUAAUUAUACAUAAAUUUAUAGAAGGUGUUCACUGCUGUAUUUCAUUAGAACUGAUAUUAUGUAUAAGGUAUGUAUCAUGUAUUGUGUAUGCAUUAUGUAUUAUGUAUGUGUUAUGUAUUACGUAUAUAGGUAUUAUGUGUUUAUUUGAUUAAAUUAAAUGGACCACGAUAGUUCUUUCACGCCAUGCAUAUGUUAAACUAUGUUACUUUAUAAUAAUAAUUAUUCAGUUAUGUAAAUCUGAACUUGUGGUCAAUAAACUUAUCAAUAUUA
This is a long non-coding RNA of Scylla paramamosain (green mud crab), 6015 nucleotides long. RefSeq lists it as uncharacterized. The record is from RefSeq and is a predicted model, not a curated record. NCBI's taxonomy places the organism in Eukaryota, Metazoa, Arthropoda, Malacostraca, Decapoda, Portunidae. The transcript is spliced from 3 exons.